CAGCAGCCGCGGUAAUACGAAGGGGGCUAGCGUUGCUCGGAAUGACUGGGCGUAAAGGGCGCGUAGGCGGCGAUCUAAGUCAGGCGUGAAAUUCCUGGGCUCAACCUGGGGGCUGCGCUUGAUACUUGGUUGCUUGAGUGGGGAAGAGGGUCGUGGAAUUCCCAGUGUAGAGGUGAAAUUCGUAGAUAUUGGGAAGAACACCGGUGGCGAAGGCGGCGACCUGGUCCUUGACUGACGCUGAGGCGCGAAAGCGUGGGGAGCAAACAGGAUUAGAUACCCCUGUAGUCCCUGUCUCUUAUAC
This 301-nucleotide ribosomal RNA is filed under the name uncultured bacterium. Its description in RNAcentral is "partial 16S ribosomal RNA". It matches the Rfam family "Bacterial small subunit ribosomal RNA", at positions 509 to 807 of the family's 1533-position model. The record is from RNAcentral.